GCUGUUAAUUGCUUAUUUUGUUGAGUUGAAUUUGAUAUCUUUGAACUUGCUUUAUGUAGUUACACUGUAAACUGUUCGCUGGUUAGUGAGCUAAUUUAUAUUGGCCCAUAUAAAUAAUGCUUCACUUUGGGUUUGGCUCAUUGCUUGCAGUGGCAGUCUCCUCUGAAGAAAGGUUUUAGAUGGAGAGCAUCGGCUAAAAGGAAGGACUUUAAAGAUGGUUUCAAAACACCAGCUGGCUUACCAGGUGAAACACUUCAGUUAAAUUAGCAACAAGUUCUAAGAGAUUUUUAUGUUUGGUGAAAAUGGUUCUGUAUUGUCCAUUUUGUCUUACAUUUUUCAUCCAGGUACAUGACAGCACAGAAGUGUGUUUACACAUGAGUGAGAGUGUGUUAUAGCGUUUGCCUUGAAGUCAGCCAACAUCAGGAUGUGUCAGUCUGGCCAAGGAAGACAUGGACAACACAUCAGAGUGUGUACACACCAGUUUGAGCUGAAAGCUGCACCCUUCUUUUCACUGAAGCAAGAGGAUUUGUUCCUGGGAGCAGCCGAGAAGUCUGGGAGUUUCUACCAUGACAUGGGUCGGCCUACCCCAGCGUGCACUGCGUGGAAGGAAGGGAACACAAACCCCCAGUCAGGUCAGCCGUUAAUCACGGG
Long non-coding RNA from Anarrhichthys ocellatus (wolf-eel), 651 nucleotides. RefSeq lists it as uncharacterized. The transcript is spliced from 3 exons. The record is from RefSeq and is a predicted model, not a curated record. NCBI's taxonomy places the organism in Eukaryota, Metazoa, Chordata, Actinopteri, Perciformes, Anarhichadidae.